AAUUCGCGAAUAUCCAUGAUAUUUUUAGCGCGUAGGUGCGUGUGUUGGAAGAAAUAUUCGUGGUGUCUGGCACGGUACGCGUCUGGCACGUUCGAUGUGUAUAGAUAUAAACGGGCCUUAAUGGGUCAACGUCAUACGGUAAAGAGACGCUUGUGCACUGCAAAACCUGUAACUUCGGUUACUUACACUCCACGAACGUAACAGCGAGCGCGGUUACGAUAAAUAUUCGGGGAGAUACUGAGACAGGCUUCCGCAUUCUCUUGAACCCAGCCCUGACCACAGAAUUCGAAAGAUGCGUGUACUGCUCGCCGAGCAGUCGUGUUAUUAAGCACGAUUUGUAUCGAUAUCUCGUUCGUUAUCGACCAAUGUUAAUUACUCGCAUAUUGUCUUGCUGUUAUCUCGCACUUUCAAACGAUCUAACGAUUCGCUGAUGAGAUGAAAAAUUCUUUACAUCUAAAAUAGGAAGUGAAGUUUGGAUGAAUGAAAUAUUUGUGUGAAGUGUAGGAUGAAGAUGCCUGUCAAGUAUUUUGACAGGUUUGAAUGCACGUGUGUUGGCUGAUUUGUCUGAAAUUGUACACAUGUCUUAAUGGUUAUGGGUUUCUACCUGCGGCGAGUCGAGAAACGGCCAGUUCGAUGAAAGAAAAGAUGGACAAAACGUUCCAGGACGGUUCCGUUAGUUCGACCAGCCGAGAUGCCUACUCGAAAAGCGAGAAGAAGAAGAAGAAGAAAAGGAAGAAAGGAGGGAACGGGAUUCAGAUAUCGUUGCUUCACCAUUCGUUCAUUCCUUGCAUUUCCCAAAUAUUUUUCACACUUUCAAUCGCAUCGUUCGAGGCGAGUAGCUGACUCGCGGAACUGCUUAUCGAUGAAUAUCGAUAGCGUCGUGUAAUGUUAUCGAUAAUGCGAUACGAUAUCGUUAAAGUGAUUAAAUGACUGAAGCAGAACGUAUCGUGUAUACUCGUCAUUCUAAUUUAAUUGUACUUUGAGGUUAGCUUAGGUUUGAGUGCACAUAACAAAUAGAUUUGAAUGAUAAAAUUUAAACAAAAUUAACAGUGCAGUCUGGUUAAAUAAAUAUUUUAGAUUCAUUUAAUGAAACAGUAGUGAAAUAAUCUAACUUGGUAGACUGUCUAGAUCUAACUUAGGAAAUUAAAUGAAUAUAACUUAACUUAGUAAAGUUACCUAACUUUAACUGAGUAAAGUGACCUAAGUAACCAAACCUUAACCUAACCAAAAGGUUGUUAAUUUAAUUUACUCUGACUUACAAUUACAACCUAUUCUAACUAAUAUAGUAUCUGAUAAAUUAACCUAACUUAACUUUAAAAUAAUUUAAUAACCAGACAGAGUUAAAUAAUAAAACCCGACCUAACCUAUCCUAACUUAAUGUAGAUACGAGCAAAAUAAUAUUGCAUAUAACAGUCUGCUUCGGUCAUUUGCAUCGAACCCAACAUUAUCGAUAAUCAAUAUUUUAUUUCAAAGAAAAUUUUAGUUCCACGGUUAUUUCGUACCGUUCCACGCAUUCAAGUCUCUUUUCUCUUCUACUCAUGUCUGCUUUUUACCUCGUCGCGGAUCAUUCAGGAAUUCUAUCGACCAACACUUCGAGGAAAACAAACACGUUCAACGAGUUUACGUUCUUUUUCUUGUUCUUUUUUUUUUAACGGUGCAGAGAAACUACCAUGUUGAUCCGUACAAUUCAACUUAUUGGUUUCUCUCGAGUUGACUCGUUGAUCGACUGACCAACAUUCGACGUGCAUUAGAUUAUUCACGGAUCCUUGACAUUUAAUGCAUUAGUUCUGAGAAGUGCAGGAAAUUGUUUUGAUAUACUUUUAAUAUAGGACUGCGAUUUACUGUUACAUUGUGCUGUUAUGCUCUCACGUUUAGGAACAUAUUGCCAUAUUUUUCCUGGUUCACAAGUUACCAUAUAUUAUAUAAAAUUUUAUAU
Molecule: long non-coding RNA, 1936 nt
Organism: Megachile rotundata (alfalfa leafcutting bee)
Lineage: Eukaryota; Metazoa; Arthropoda; Insecta; Hymenoptera; Megachilidae
Source: RefSeq, a predicted model, not a curated record